RNAcentral lists this ribosomal RNA (639 nucleotides) under uncultured bacterium. RNAcentral's name for it is "bacterial SSU rRNA". It matches the Rfam family "Bacterial small subunit ribosomal RNA", at positions 202 to 828 of the family's 1533-position model. The record is from RNAcentral.
GAAACAUCCUUUAGGGGAUGGGGCGCGGAUGGACCUGCGGUGCAUUAGUUGGUUGGCGGGAUAAAGGCCCACCAAGACGAUGAUGCAUAGCCGGCCUGAGAGGGCGGACGGCCACAUUGGGACUGAGACACGGCCCAGACUCCUGCGGGAGGCAGCAGUAGGGAAUUUUCGUCAAUGGGCGCAAGCCUGAACGAGCGAUGCCGCGUGAGUGAAGAAGGCCUUCGGGUCGUAAAGCUCUGUUGCGGGGGAAAAAAGGCAGCAUCAGGAAAUGGGUGCUGACUGAUGGUGCCCCGCCAGAAAGUCACGGCUAACUACGUGCCAGCAGCCGCGGUAAUACGUAGGUGGCGAGCGUUAUCCGGAAUGAUUGGGCGUAAAGGGUGCGCAGGCGGUCCUGCAAGUCUGGAGUGAAACGCAUGAGCUCAACUCAUGCAUGGCUUUGGAAACUGGAGGACUGGAGAGCAGGAGAGGGCGGUGGAACUCCAUGUGUAGCGGUAAAAUGCGUAGAUAUAUGGAAGAACACCAGUGGCGAAGGCGGCCGCCUGGCCUGUUGCUGACGCUGAGGCACGAAAGCGUGGGGAGCAAAUAGGAUUAGAUACCCUAGUAGUCCACGCCGUAAACCAUAAGGGCCAAGUGUUGGGG